GCUUUCCAAGGAGGCAAAUGUUGGCAGUAGACACACAGAAAAAGACCAAAAGAAAUACACCCACCUGUGUUUCAGUUUCCAAGGUAAGAAUUGCUAGCUGGGGAAAAAGCUGUCUCCAGGAAGAGGUUUAUGGGGUUAUUUUUAUUUUCUUCUCUACACACUGCUAUGUUAUCCAAAUUUUCUACAGUAAUUCUACUUUUACAACCUAGAAAACAAAAUUCCAAAUAAUAUUUUUAAAAAGAGCAUGUGUAUUUAUUUAGGGUCUACCAUGAGUCAAGACCUAUAUGAGAUACUUCUUAAGCAUUAUAUUUAGUCCUCACAAUAACCCUGUUAAGGUAUUAUGAUAUCCAUUCAAAGAUGACAAAACUAAGACUCAAGUAAUGCUCUCAAAGUUAGUGGCAAUGUCAAGAUUUGAACUCAGAUACCGUCUUUCUUUCUACUCUGCAGCUGUGUCAAAGUAGGAGUAAAUUAAAUAUCAAACAUGUUAAACAUUCAAAAGGGUAAGAGAUCACUGUGGGCGGGGCAAGACUAGUCAGAGAAGAUUCUGUGUCAGAAGUAGAAUCUUGCCUUUGAAGAUUAGAAAAAAUUUGGAUAAUGGCUAAUACAUACUGAGCUCUUACUGCAAUCCAGGUUCUGUUCUAGUGCUUUGCAAACAGUCACACUUUGCUCCUCCCAGCAACUUACGAGGUGGGUGCUAUUACUGCACAGGCGAUUUGCCCAGGGCACAGAGCCCGUAAGUUGUGCAGGCAGUCUGAACCUAGACCUUCUAAGGUUUUUCACCGUUUCCUUCUGCAUCUCCGGACGUGGUAAUGACAGCACAGAAGAACAUCCAGAGCAAAGAGCAUCUGGGCACGGUCAGCAGGCGGGAGUGGAGUGUGCUCACGUGAGGAAGCGCGUGUAGGUGGGACAGGGAAGGUAGGAGGUGAUGAGAGAAUGGUAACUGGGAAACAGUAAAUGACAAGGGAAGUACGGUGGGUGAGGUCACUGGAUUAAACAAUACAAAUCUAAGGUUUGGGUUAUCUCUACUCCUUUGGGAGACAGAGAUGAGCCUCUGGGUGGGGUAGGGGGGAGGUAAUCGGCAGAAAAAUGUGUUCCUGUGAAUGUUCUGCUCGCUUUCCUACAGCUCCCUCAUUCCAAUCGCAUUCCAGCUUACAGAAGAUAAAGCCAGGUGGGGAUUUUUGUUUAUCUUUCUAAGAAGCCCUGAGAACAGAGAAGGAAGAUGUCGGGCCGCAAGGUCCGGUUGAGAAAGCUCUCUCCACAGAACACGAAUUCAUUUUAUUUCCCACCAAGAUUCCCACUGAGCUGCAAAAUGCGAUUCUUCGAGUUGAGUAUUCUUACUUCCCCAUAUUACAGAUGAAGAAACUGCGCUGUAGAGAAGUUAAUUUGUCCAAAGUCACACAACUUUUUAAGUGGUAGAGCUGUGAUUCCCACCCAGGUCUGACGCUGAAGUCGAUGCCUUUAGCCAAAUAACUACUGAGUAGCCAGGGAAGAAAUCAGAAGUCAGAUUCUUUCCUCAGCCAUGUCCAGUCUACUAAUAACCUCAUCCAAGACAAUCUUCUAGGCUCAUUAAAAGAUGUUCUUCCCCAUACCCUUCCCUCCCCAGUGAAUCUUCUGCCCAUUCAUUUUUUACACUCUAUGUAAUCAAUCAACAAGAGAAACUCAGGGCAGCCGCUCACCUGAGCCUGCCUGCUUUCCCCUUGAGAGUGUACUAUCCAUCCCUUAAUAAAUCCCCACCUUACUUCCUUAA
Camelus dromedarius (Arabian camel) is the source of this 1747-nucleotide long non-coding RNA. RefSeq lists it as uncharacterized. The transcript is spliced from 3 exons. Lineage: Eukaryota; Metazoa; Chordata; Mammalia; Artiodactyla; Camelidae. The record is from RefSeq and is a predicted model, not a curated record.